UCGCUCUGCUUUCCUGUUUGUUUAAACUCUGUUCAUUACAACCCACUGGUUGCAGGGGUCACUUUGAUGCCAAGCACUGUGAAUACACAAUGAUGGUCAUGGAAGGCAGCUCGAGCUACCCUGUUCCAGCUCAUUAGCUGUGAUUAAUCGGCAUGUGAGCUUUCCCAUGGUCCCCUUUGACUGGCUGGAGACAGAGCUCACCUUGGAGGGCACAGGGAGACGAGGCUGCUACACCACCACCGUUAACACUCUGCCACAUCCAAUUAGUCAGCAAUUCAUCAGUGCACGGCCCAGGUCCAGGUCCAGCCUUCUGGAACCCAGCUCACACAGGACGGACCUGCUUGCCCCAUAAAUGCAGAGAACGUGCUGAGAAGAGAAAAGCAGAGCAGCAGGAGAGAGGCCAAGAACCUGGAAUUAAACGGGGCCACCUGAUCCACACCAGCAGAAUCACAGCCAGCCAAACAGAGCGCUCAUUGUCUGUGGCAGACACCACUGAGCUCUGCUCUUUGUCGCCCCCCUCCCUCCUCCACACACACUGUCCUUCACUAUAGCUAUAGCUGCAGGGAAGAAUUAUAGACUUAAACAUAUAUUUUCAGUGUUGGGGAGUGGGACUUUAUCAUCAAAGUGUCUACUUUAGAAAAGCUAAGUCAUUUUUAAGACACGUUUUGUCGUAAUUUAAAUAAGGAACAUCUAUUCUAUGGAAGCGUAAAGUAAAAAAACAAACAAAAAAGAGCUCAAAUGUUUACCUCAACAUUGAUGGUUAGUUCUCCUGUUUCAAAAAAUACAGACCUUCAAUCCUCCUUAAUUCCUCCAAACAAUCAAGGCAGCACACACGCUAGAUAAAGACACAAUGACACAACUUUAGAAAUGCACGCAUACCCUGACACACAAGCUCACCCACACACACACAUAUAGAGGGGAAUGGGAGUCUGCAGGCAGCAGUAACUGCUGAAUAAUUCAGAAGUGGAAAUGCAUGAUUGAUGUGGGACACUUCAUUUCCACACCUUUAAAAGGUCUCUUUUAGCUCCGGCACCAAACAGGCCAAGUGGUCUCUGCAGUUCAAAGCCUGGAAUGGAUCUGGCCUUCCUAGUCAUGCUCUUUGGGACAAGAGUGGCUUUAUUCUGUGGCACGGGCACCAGUGGUGGUGGUUGGGAUUCCACACCUGUGUUUGCUCCUUACCCAAUAAUUGAGAGCUGCAUGCUAUUUUGAGCUUGGAGCACAAAGUGCUUCACUCAUGAGGGGCUCGGGCUGAAGAAUCUUGGCUCCCAGUUUGAUGUGGCUGGAAAACCUGAAGGCCUGCAGAUUAGCCCGGCAGGGUGCAGCUAUACUCAAGAACAUAUGAGCUUGAAAGACAAACAUAGCCUACUUUGAAAUGGAAGAGCUACAUCAUUGUGACUGAUGCAUUAUUAGCAUCUUUUAUAAUAUUAUGAUAGUUUUGUAUUAAUUUUAUAGUAUGUGCAUUACAGUAAAUAAAAUACUGUACAGUCAAAAUGGAGGAAAUGUAAAUAUGUAUAAAUUCAUAAUGUUUAGUUACAAUUCAUUAUUUCCUGUUUAUACAUAUUUGCAGUGGUGGAAGAAGUAUUAAUAUCUGUUACUUCCUGUAAGUGCCAAUACCUCAAAGUAAGAAAACUUUAUCUUCAUAAUUUUACUUAAUCAAAAAGUACAUAAGUAUCAAUAGGAAAAUGUAAGUGAGGCGACAUAUGAUACUUAUAUUGAAUGUCUCUUUUCAGAGUGUUAUAUUAUUAGUUGGAUUAUCCUUAUGAAUACAUCUAUCCAUAAACUUAAGUGGUAGUCCUGGUAUUUAGUAUCGCAGAUUUGAAAAAUAAUGAUAAAAAUUGAAGCAGUAGAGGCAGAGAUAUCCAGAAAAUCCACACUAGUCUCUGGUAAUGAUGGGUCUGGCUCCUACACUACCCAUAAUGCAACCAGCAUCAUCAUAAAUCUGGAUUCUGCCUUGGCAAAUGUCCUCCAGAUCGAGUCACAGAAGACAUUAUUCAGCUGUUACUUCAGGCUGGCUGUCACUCUCCAUCACUAGUAAACUGAUGUAAAAUCAGUGAAAGUCCUCUCUAAUGUUGAAACUGCAGCAAAUUUUAACUACUUUAUAUACUAUAGCAAUCACAUUUUAUGACCUGAUCAUAAGUUUUGUACAAAAAAAUGUUUCAUUAACCGGUAACUACAGCUGUUCAAUAAAUGUAGUCGAGUGAAAAGUGCAAUAUUUGCCUCUGACUUGACUUUAGUAUAGUACUUGAGUAAAUGUCCUUUACCAUCAAAGGAAACCUACUUCAGUGUAGAAUUAUUACUUGUGUUUUGCCAAUGCAAUAAACCAGAGGCAUAUGAAAAUUCAUAGACAGGCUUAAGAAGCUGACUAAGUAAGGAUAGACAAAAUGGAAAUGAGCAAAAAAGAACAGCGAGCCUGAGCCAACACGCUGUUACUGAGCUAAGUCAGUUUAGUGGAGGGUCAGUCCAAGUGCAAGGAGAACUCCAAGUCAAAACAAACACUCACUUUGGCUUCUGACGGGACGGCGCACUCACUUUUUCCCACAAUUCUCCCGAACAGCUUAAUUCAUAGUCACACAAACUAGGUGGUCAUGAAACUCAUCACAACAAAAUGUUCCAGAUGUAAUUUAAUUUUCGUGAAAAUGUCCACUUUUCCUGCCAUAUAUGUGAUGCAUGUUAUAUAUUUUCACAGAAUGACAAUGAUAGAUUUAGAGUUGUGUUUCGUGUUUCAUGACAGCUCCGCACUGCCAGUUCAUUAUGAUAUUAAUAGGGAGGGUCGAAAAUGUCAAAACAUUCCUCAGUUGUCAGGCAACCUUGCCCUAGUUAAACCUUUAAAAAAAAAAGAGAGAGAUGUUGUUACCAACCAAGAGAAUCCAAAGGGACCCAUUUUUAUUUAAAAUGUUAACUGGCUGACCAAGCCGGCUGGGUAAUUUAUUACCAAGAGACAGGAAUUUUGACAAAUCAUUCAGCUCAGCAAACUCGGCUGUGGCAAAGUUCAGCAAUUAGGCUCUUAUGUAAAGAAAGUCUACUCCUCUGCAUCGGGUGUUCUGGAUUUAUGUGUGCUCUCCAGCUAGCGGGCAGGUUCAAAGCCCUGCGUAGGGGAGCUGGAGGUUGACACAUGGGGAAUUUCACAAAUAUGGUGGAACACACACAUUUUGCCGUAAAUCUGACCAGAGAAUAGUGGUCUUCAGGGGGAAAGGAGGUGGUCAGUGAGGGGAGAGAGGUGGAGUGUUGAGUGAAGGCAUAGCUAAAUAAUCAACCCGAGACGGGGGUCAACUAUUCUCAAGUCAUCUGUGAUAUUCAAGAGGCAGAAGAAAGGAUAAGAAAGCAGGACGACAGUGAUCUUUCACAGCCUGAUUGCUAAAUAAUAGAAUUUGCAAAUAGCUUCUAAAGGUUUCAGAACUCCCUUUUUAAAAAUGCAAACUCCUAAUGCAACUCACACAUGUUAAAUUUUGACUUCCAGUCAGCCAAGCCUAAACCCUCUGUCAAUAUUUAGCUUUCUUUUAAUGGGGUGAUUUUAUGCUACUGUCUGACCAUGAUGGCCAAUGAGUAGCUGCUUGCUCAGUGUCAUAGUGAGUCUACCUGAGAAUAGUUCUGGGUAAACCA
Long non-coding RNA from Seriola aureovittata, 3600 nucleotides. RefSeq lists it as uncharacterized. NCBI's taxonomy places the organism in Eukaryota, Metazoa, Chordata, Actinopteri, Carangiformes, Carangidae. The transcript has 3 exons. The record is from RefSeq and is a predicted model, not a curated record.